Molecule: transfer RNA, 53 nt
Filed under: Dysdera sp. MB
Lineage: Eukaryota; Metazoa; Arthropoda; Arachnida; Araneae; Dysderidae
Description: tRNA-Leu
Source: RNAcentral
UCUCAUUUGGCAGACCUUUCAAUGCAAAAGACUUAGAAUCUUUAUAACUACUU